This 1332-nucleotide long non-coding RNA is filed under the name Helianthus annuus (common sunflower). RNAcentral describes it as "sRNA HanXRQr2_Chr15g0720811". Lineage: Eukaryota; Viridiplantae; Streptophyta; Magnoliopsida; Asterales; Asteraceae. The record is from RNAcentral.
GGUUGAUUUAGGGGUACUAUACUUACCACGAGUGCAAUAUAUAUAUUUUUUUUAUAGCCCAAAAGUUAUACCCAAAAUUUAUACCAGGAGUCCUUCUAGUUGAACCAUAAAGUUACAAAGUAGGUCCAUUCUCUUUUCUCACUAUUUUAUUCUCUUUUUAUGAGUUACCCAAAACUAUUAUUUAUUAUUUCUGUUUUGUAAACAAACUUUCAUCAAAAGUCAUGCCUAUUAUUUUAUUUACCCAAUAGGGAACCAUAGUUGAGACACCCAAGUAAUCCUGCACAACUCCUAAAAAUUUUUCAUAGCAAUCAGAAUCAGAAUCAGGGCCCCUAAAACUCAGGGGGGUAUUUCCUACUUAACGAUUAUCCUUAUAUCUCGCUGUCUAAAUUGAAAAUUAUCGUUCCGUCGACUCAGCAGGCCUAAGUAGGUGACGAAGCAGGCCUAGCCUACUUUGGAUUCCCCCGCGACACGCGACAGAUCCCGGGGAUCCUGUCGCGACACGCGGGCGGUUCCAAAUCAGGCUAUAAAUAGAGGGGCCUAGGACUUGAUUUCUGGCAUUCGUUCGACGUUCAAAUUCGUUUCCUACGUUGAGUUAUUAUUCGUUUACUACCAAACACACACCACACUCGAAUCGCUGCCGCGGAACAGGGUAAUUACUCGAUCGCUAUUGCGAUUCCUUUUCCGGGAUCAAUAUAUCCAAAGAAUGUCUAAGUGCCGCCCAUAUUGGGUUAUGCUUUGUCGUUUGUCGAUAAUUCGAUAAAUGAGUUGAAGCAUUAUACUUUGUCGUUUGUCGAUAAUUCGAUAAAUGAGUUGAAGUAUUAUACUUUGUCGUUUGUCGUUAAUACGAUAAAUGAGUUGAAGUAUUGCACUUUGUCAUUCAUUGUGAGAAUUUGAUCUCGUAAGUUGUCGUAAAAGCUGUAUUGAUCAUUAACCCAGUUUUUGUGAAAUUCGUUAAGAUUCGAAUCUCAUGACUACCGUUAAGGUUGAUUUAGGUUUUUCACCAAUACGUAUUCCAUUCUGUUAAACCACCAAAAAUACUCCCACCUACACCCUUACAAUCAAAUAAACUAUUAAAUCAUCAGAAGAUCCAGAAUAAUAAAGAGCAUGCUUAAUUAUCGGAAGAAAUAGAAUCAAGAAGUUGUUAACUCAAUCCUGCAUGCUGAUUUGUAAUUACAGUAGAUUGGAGUAAGGAUUGGAUCCGGCACUAAAAGACUUCAAGAAGUGGCUUAUCUUAUUCAUUAAAUCACAUUAAGAAUUAUUGUUUUUAUUAAAAGCUACCUUUGUAAAACAUGGAAUUUAUUCCAUCUAUUUAAAUAAAAUCCGGUGUUUCUA